GUGAGCCGUGUAAUAGGCGACCAUUUCGCGCGGUUCGGGGGGCACUUGAAUAAGCCGCCGGCGCCCGGCUGCGUCUUUACCCCUAU
Ananas comosus (pineapple) is the source of this 86-nucleotide non-coding RNA. NCBI's taxonomy places the organism in Eukaryota, Viridiplantae, Streptophyta, Magnoliopsida, Poales, Bromeliaceae. The record is from Rfam.